CAACAUCGAAAUUCGCUAAAUUGUUCACUUUUCAAUGCAAUUUCGAUUUUGUUCAUGAAGCGUUAAAUGAGGCUAUAGAUUUGACUUUGAAAGCUGUAUUCAUGAAGUUAUCUACCGAACAAUUUGUGUUGUAUCUUAUAGUUUAGUUUACUAUAAGAGAGAGAGUUUUGGUAGAAUGCUCUUUCUUUUGUUUAGUGGAUUUAGCCUUCUCGUUGGUGAGAACCUUAUGUGCCAAUGUUCGUGUAAUGGAAUGGGCUUGGUGCUCUUGGCAUUCGACCACCACCUCUAAUUUGUGUUCUGACUAAAACAUCUCCCAUAAAGUUGGGAUUUUUCUUCUUCUUUGUUCAUGUUCUUAGAGUUUGGCAAAAGUGACUGGGUCGUGGGGAAUCUGUAGAAGACUUUGUAAGGCGUAACCUUGGUGAUGAGGUCUUUUGAGCGCUUAAUUGAAACAUUUUUGUUUAGGUGUUUAUGCUGGUGAUCCUUCAUAACUGAGUAUUAAAGCAGACUGGAGGAGAAUGGUGACAGCAUCAUUGGUGGUACUUUGAAGGCAAUUCAGGAGAGAAAUAGAGCUCCCAAGGAAAACCGAGACCCGUUGGGUAGCAAAGUUAAGGUGUCUUGGAAGCUCUCAAGUAUUACUAAGCUGAAACUCCAGAAAGGAUCUGUACAGAGCAAAGUGUAGUGAUGACUGUCCCAUCUCAUUUGCUAGUAGUCUCUUGCACCCACUCUAUAAUUUCCCAAUGAUGAGUGACUUGAUGAUAAAGUUGCUGAAGCUGUGUCAUUCAUCAUCUGGUCAUGAUGGGAUAUUCUUGGGUGGCAAUUAUGAUGCUGCUGGUGUAGCAUUGGGUCGGUGUGUGGAAAGGACUUACGAAACUGCAACCCAAGUCAAUGAUUUCAUCUCUAGGUACGCUUACAAGUAACAAAAAUACUAAAAAUAGCCAAAUAGAUAUUAAGAUUGCAGUUUAGACUUUGACAGAGUAUGUGAAGGUUCCAUUAAUAUUCUCAUAAGUAUUACUAUAAGUUGUGGCCAAAAGAGCAAAAAUUACACAAAGCGGGAGAAAGAUAGUAGAAGUCUAGAACAAAUCGAUCAUAACUCUUGAAUCUUGAGGAUCUUCGUGAAGAGGUGAGAUCUUGAAACUGUCGAGUCUUGGAGAUUUCUGUUGCUGCGUGUAAUGGGAAGAUGAAGAAGAAGAAGAUGGUGGGAGAAUCAUGGAGGACGAAGAAGGGAAUUCAGGGUUUGUAGGGUGAAGGAUUUGUGUGAGUAGAAGAACAAUUGACGCCAUUGAUGAUCAACUUCGAAGAAAGCUUGUGUGUGUGAUUAGGGUUUUGGAGUAGAUUUUGUCUUCUCAUGUGAUUCUUAUCUGUCUUUAUAUAUAGAGAAAAAAAGUGUGGGCCUGUGGUAUUGUGGAUCGAUGAUGUGUCUGUGUUUUAGAAUCCAGUGGGACUCUUAAAUCUUUGGGUGGCAAGUGGUUUUUGUCUGACUUUUGUGUCGCAUUUA
This is a long non-coding RNA of Arabidopsis lyrata subsp. lyrata, 1495 nucleotides long. RefSeq lists it as uncharacterized. The record is from RefSeq and is a predicted model, not a curated record. The transcript has 4 exons. Lineage: Eukaryota; Viridiplantae; Streptophyta; Magnoliopsida; Brassicales; Brassicaceae.